UGGGGAAUAUUGGACAAUGGGCGAAAGCCUGAUCCAGCCAUGCCGCGUGUGUGAAGAAGGUCUUCGGAUUGUAAAGCACUUUAAGUUGGGAGGAAGGGCAGUAAGCGAAUACCUUGCUGUUUUGACGUUACCGACAGAAUAAGCACCGGCUAACUCUGUGCCAGCAGCCGCGGUAAUACAGAGGGUGCAAGCGUUAAUCGGAAUUACUGGGCGUAAAGCGCGCGUAGGUGGUUCGUUAAGUUGAAUGUGAAAGCCCGGGCUCAACCUGGGAACUGCAUCCAAAACGGGCGAGCUAGAGUAGGGCAGAGGGUGGUGGAAUUUCCUGUGUAGCGGUGAAAUGCGUAGAUAUAGGAAGGAACACCGGUGGCGAAGGCGACCACCUGGGCUCAUACUGACACUGAGGUGCGAAAGCGUGGGGAGCAAACAGG
This 428-nucleotide ribosomal RNA is filed under the name Pseudomonadota bacterium. RNAcentral's name for it is "Proteobacteria bacterium partial 16S ribosomal RNA". It matches the Rfam family "Bacterial small subunit ribosomal RNA", at positions 355 to 776 of the family's 1533-position model. The record is from RNAcentral. Lineage: Bacteria; Pseudomonadati; Pseudomonadota.